Molecule: long non-coding RNA, 4372 nt
Organism: Epinephelus moara (kelp grouper)
Lineage: Eukaryota; Metazoa; Chordata; Actinopteri; Perciformes; Serranidae
Exons: 3
Source: RefSeq, a predicted model, not a curated record
ACUCUGCUCAUAAAAAUGAUCGUAUCUCAAAAACUAAAUAAUGAAAAGAGUUCAAAUAACUUACGGAGUUUGAAGAAAUAUUUUCUUUAUGUUUCUACAUUUUUAAUGUUUUAGAUCAAAAUGUUUUGUGUUUUUAUUUUGUAAAAGUCAAAAAAGGUUCCCGCACACUGUCUCACUCUUUCCCAUUUUAUUUAAGCAUUUAAGCAACGUUUCGGUCUGUGUGACCUUCUUCACGCAUUUGUGUGUUUUUAUUUUGUAAAAUCUGAUGGACGAACGUCCAGUUUUUACAUCAUUAUUAUUAUUAUUAAUGACACAGUUUCAAUACUUUCAUUAAAUAUUACGGUUCACUGACUUCCAUAACCUCUGAGCUCAGGUUGUUCAGAUUUUAGAGAUGUGAAGCAUUUGAAGAUACUUCAGGAAAUGACAUCACAAUAAGCAAACAUACCAGUGUAGGCAGUGGAGGACCGUGUUGUCUUAAACGUAUUUGUUUCGUCUCUCUUUCACUCUUAUUUAUUUUACAUUUUCGUGCCUCUCUGAAGCUGCAGCCUGUUUCUGCAGAUGGACAUAUUCUGGGCUGUUGUAGUUUGGCCAUGUCGGCCACCGUAGUUUCCAGCUGAGUCAUUUAUCAGUUUGAAUAAACACAGCUGACAAUCAGCUGUGAGCGUAACUGAGGGUGUUGUUAAGGUGAAGGAUCAACGCUGAUAAAUGUUGGACAUGAGAUCAUUUUGUUUCUUCCCUGAAAUUAGUCAUGACCACGAUAACACUGCUUUUUAUCUGGAUCAUAAAAACAAACACCUGAGGAGGACGCACCUGAGGAGGACGGCAGAGAGACUGUACCGAGUUGUUUCUGAGAAAUUAGAUAAGGUUACGUAACACUGUGACAUAAACACACCUGAUCCCUCUUCUUGUACCUGCCUGCAGAGGAACGUCCAGAUAUGGUCAGACAGGUGUGACGGCAGAUUAACAGACUUUAUUGUCCAUGCUGCAGAUGGCAGAGUGUUAGAGUCUGACGCCAGAGGAAGAAGAGGAAGAAGAAGAAGAAGAAGACAGAGAAGGAGGACAAUGCUUCAGAGGAGGGCAGUGCUGGUCCCUGAGGCUGGGGAGGAGACGCCAAGAGACUCCACCGCACCCUCAGCAAGCUGGGCUUCUAAGUGGACAUCCACAGUGACCUCAGCGAGGACGAGAUCUACGAGCUAAUCUUUAAAGGACGGACAGUUUUGACUCAUACCAGAGGAAUUACCGGUCGAACCAACAGCAUUACUGAUGGCUUCGCUCCAACUGCGUGUCAGAGUCAGCAUCCAAGAACCAGGAAUGAGUUUCAGCAUGUGUGCCUCUUUAUAAACUGAGCCGUCCUGAUCAGCUGAUCACAGAGUGGACUAAAACACUGUUAACAACUCGAUCGACAGACUCUGCAGAGGAAAACCUGUGAGCACGUUCAGUCUGCAGGAAGCUCCUGAAAAUGGCAGCAUUAAGAAGAAGCGGGAGUCUAGAACUAGACCUUAAUUUUUCUAAAUCAACAACAAAACUUAUGAGACAUGCAGCUUCAUUCAUCUCAGCGUUUGACGUCAGUAAACCAAGGAUGAGACAGAUUGUAGAAGAGUUUCAGAAGAUCGUUGAUGAAGUGAAAAAGAUGCAGGAGACGACAGACAAACAGAGAAGAAAAGGAGUUGUUGCUGGAGGAGUAGGACUCGGACUGAUGAUCCUUGCAACUCCGUUCACUGGGGGAGCGAGCUUAUUGGCAGCAGGAGGACUAGCUGCUGCUGCUGUUGGUGGUUAUGUUGUCAAGGCAAAUGUAACAAAAAUAAAAGAAGAGAAAGAAAGUGCACAUAAAGUCGAAGAGCUGGGGAAAGAAUUCAUGGAGAUUGUUGAAUCGCUGAAGAAUGACCUGGAAGAAAUAAAGACGACGUGUGAAGAGCUGAAGACACCAUCCAUGAAAGUUCAGGCUGUAGUCACUCUGUCAGACAUGGAGGAGUUUCAGUGGAUUCUUACACAAGUGUCUGAACUGGCCGAGACAAGUGGAGAAGUUUUGGAUGUGGCAGUAGCAGUGAUGGCAGUAAUGCAUGAUCUGUUAGUGCUCAUUGUGAGUGUCUUCAGAGUGACUGCGACCCCUGAAGAGGAUCAGCAGUUAAGAGACUCCAUCAUCCAGUCAGCUGAUCGGUGUCAGAAGGUCAUUAAUGCGUUUGAUCGGAUGACGCAGAAACUGAGACACUUCACAGGAUGUUGGAGAUACAAGACAAGGUCUCGUUCAAUCACCAUGUGACGUAAAGUCUCAUCAGAUCUGCAGUUUGAGAUGAAGUGUGUAAAUGUGUCCGAUCCUGCGUGUCUGAACGAUCUCCUCGGUGGUGGAAUAUGAUAUUUAGCCUGAAUAUGAUGAUGACUGUACAGAUGCUGGCUUUGAACUGUGAGCUGUCCCGGAGGACUGGUCGGACCACUUUGUGUCAGUCCAAACUCCUCACAGAGGGUUCAAACCAGGAACCAUCUUGCUGUGAGGCAACAAUGCUAACCACUGCUCCACCGUGCCGCAUCGAGUUCAGAAUGAAGUUUAUUAGUUUGAACAUUAAAUAUCUCGUCUUUGGACCGGGUUGGAAUUGGGGUUGUAUGUAUUUUAUAUCUCACAUAAAGUUUAUACACUGUGUUUAUAUUGUACCUGUGAUGUCAUCACUUCUACCUGCACUGUUUAUUUUGCUGACUGUAACUGCUGCACAUGUUCAUAUCUUAUCCAUAUUCAUAUCUCCCUCUGACUGUGAAUUCUAUAUACCGUAAACUUACAUUAGUAGCUUUAAUUUGCUUAUCACUGAAGUCAACAGGCCUGUAUUUGUUACAGGCCUAAAGUUAAUUCCUUUCACACAAAACUGUUGCUCAGCAAAGAUCAGGAAAUACGAUCAAACUGUUUAUAUGAACCAGUCUGAAUGUUUUAAUUAUGUGUUGUAUCACAACGCUUGUUUGACGGCACUCAAGGAUUUCGGCAUCCGACACAACAAAACUUUAUCCUCUUUAAACAAUAUUUAAUAUUUUUAUGAAACCCCCUUUUGAUCUGAGGACACUUACAGACUGGAGGAACAUGAAUAACGUACAGGGUGAUCCAGGAACGGACACAUAUUCUGACUUUAUGACAGCAACAGAGGAAACGUAGGGAGUCACCACUUGUUUUUUUGACAUGCCGGUAAAUCUGAAAGAAUUUAGUCAUCCUUGGCGCUCAUGGUUUCAGUGAAAUGAACUCAGCCAAGCUAACGAUGUGUAGCAUCUCCAUACUGACAAAAAUUAAAUAUGUAUGCUUGCAUGUGUGAUCUAAACAGAUAACCAAUGUUAGCUCAAGUAGGUAGCCAAAAAAUGUGGUUUUAUACAUCCAAAGAACUUUUGUCAACAAGAACUGCUGGCAGCCAGACCAGGCCUCUUAUUGAGACAGGCCUUUAUUUGUCUAAACGUGUAGCCACACCAGGCUGUGAAAGGGUCUGGGCAUUUAGUAAGUUUUACGGUAUUGUAUAUAUUGUUUAAUAUUUCAUUAUCUCAGUACAUGGACUCUUUGCAGUGACAUUAAAGUUUAAUUUAAUCUCAUAUUCAGUGUUGAUCUCAGCUUCACCAUGUACACCUGAACUAAUCAAUACUUUUAUAUUAAUGAUGGAUCAGAUGACUGUGUGUGGUCAUGUGAAAUGUUUCACUCAUAGAGACAAACUCAGAUAAUUAACAUGUUGUAGCAUAUUUUAUUUGUGUGUUUAUGGUGUUCCCCAAGGCUCCAUUUUAGGCCCAAUUAUAUUUUCACUAUACAUGCUUCCAUUAGGCUCUAUACUAAGGAAAUACAAUAUGUCUUAUCACUGUUAUGCAGAUGAUUCCCAGUUGUACCUCCCUUUGAAACCAACAGAUCCUUGCAGCAUUAAUUCACUAUUACUCUGUAUUAAUGACAUAAAAUCUUGGAUGGCAUGAAGCUUUCUCCAGCUGAACCAUGACAAAACUGAGGUCCUCAUCUUUGGCCUUACAGACACUUCUGCCUCUGUUACCAGUGCUCUUGGUCCUCUGUCUUCACGUUUAAAAUCUCAUGUAAAGAAUCUUGGUGUCAUCUUUGACUCUGGUCAAAAAAGUUAAAGUUAAAAACCAGAGGUGACAAAGCUUUUUCAGUUGUUGGUCCGAAACUGUGGAGCAGCCUGCCACAAACAGUUAGAUCCUCACCCUCUUUAAAUAUAUUCAAAGCCCGGCUAAAACCCAUCUCUUUGCCUUAGCUUUUGGUGAUUCAUCAUGAGAACAUAUUGUUUGAUAUUCAUCUUUUUCAUUGAAUUUGCUCAAGACAAACUCUACUGUCUUGGCUGAUUAUUUUUCUUGUUGUGCAUAAUUUGUAUACGUUGUAAAGCACUUUGGUCAAUGAUUGUUGUUUUUAAAU